This 402-nucleotide ribosomal RNA is filed under the name uncultured bacterium. RNAcentral describes it as "bacterial SSU rRNA". It matches the Rfam family "Bacterial small subunit ribosomal RNA", at positions 362 to 757 of the family's 1533-position model. The record is from RNAcentral.
UUUUGGACAAUGGGGGCAACCCUGAUCCAGCAAUGCCGCGUGAGUGAAGAAGGCCUUCGGGUUGUAAAGCUCUUUUGUCAGUGAAGAAACAGCAGCUCUAACACAGUCUGCGAAUGACGGUACCUGAAGAAUAAGCACCGGCUAACUACGUGCCAGCAGCCGCGGUAAUACGUAGGGUGCGAGCGUUAAUCGGAAUUACUGGGCGUAAAGCGUGCGCAGGCGGUUAUACAGGACAGGCGUGAAAUCCCCGGGCUUAACCUGGGAAUGGCGCCUGUGACUGUAUAGCUAGAGUGUGUCAGAGGGGGGUAGAAUUCCACGUGUAGCAGUGAAAUGCGUAGAUAUGUGGAGGAAUACCAAUGGCGAAGGCAGCCCCCUGGGAUAACACUGACGCUCAUGCACGAA